AUACUGACCCUUUAGCACACAUCACAGCAAUCUCUGCUUAGAUACAGUGGUGUCAUCUCACAACUUCCUGUAUCAAGCUGGAAUCAUUUGCUCCCAGGCCAAGUCUUCAGCCAGUUAACACUCCCGGACCCUCCCAUUCGAAGGCAAACUCCAAAGAAAUGAUUUCAAAUGUAAAACUCUUCACAGAGUGAUGCUGAUUGCCGGUCUCAGACAACAUCUCAAUACUGAAGCUAAUUAAAGAAGAAUUCAGAUAUUUCCUGCCAGGCCCUGAGAGGAGUGACAGACCUGACUGUCCCUGUCUAUCGCUUUCAGGACUCCCCUACAUUGGUAAUUUAAUCCAUCAGUGCCUCUGUGAAGAGAGAUUUGAGCCAGGAACACUCAUUGCUGCUCAUGGCUCAGAUUUGGCCAUCAGCACGUCCCUUUUGGAUCCAAAUCCAGCUGGCUCUUAUCUAACAUGGGACAGCUCUUACACUCUUCUCAUAGAAGCCAGUCCUGCAGCCCCCCACUAAAAAAUCUUGCUGGAUAAGGCCUCAACAUAGUGUCGCAGUCUGGAGGUUGUGAGGCAGAUUGUUCAGCUGAAGACUGAAAUAGAGAAGACUAUUGAAAAGACUUAUUUCUUGUGACAUCUCAAUGAAAGGUUUGCACUGAAGAUUUUGGAAGACAGAUGAAUCCUUUAACAGCUUGUACCAGGCAUCUGCCAGUCUGAAGAUAUGACAUCAGCCCUUUCUAAACUUAUCUUUGACAGAGUUCAUGGGUGUGAGAAUUGUCUGUUCAUAGAACUUACUGAGUUCAUCAUUUCCUAUGAUCCUGGGGCCUUUGGUCAUCUUCAAAUAUUUUAAACAGAACAAGUACUAAGACAGACCUCUGGAGAGCUCCUGUUCUAACUGCCUUGUAAGCAUAGUAAAAAAUAGUAACUACAACCUAAAGCAUAACAAACCAUUCAGAUAUUUACUGUGCUGAUAUUUCACACAUCUCAAUUUGGAUACAAUCUGUUGUACCCUUACUCAUUCUUGUUGCACUUUUUGAAGAUAAGUGCAAGAUUUUCCUUCUGUGUUUGAGGACCUUUCCUGCUCUCCACAAUGUAUUAAAGGUGAUAGGCAGCAGUGUCACAAUGACUUCUACUGUCUUUUUCAUCACCUAGGUAUCCAUCCUUCCUGGUCACUCAGGACUGUAUUGUUUGAGAGUAUCAUCCUCACUUUAAAGU
Gallus gallus (chicken) is the source of this 1204-nucleotide long non-coding RNA. NCBI's taxonomy places the organism in Eukaryota, Metazoa, Chordata, Aves, Galliformes, Phasianidae. The record is from Ensembl.